UAAUACGUAGGGUGCAAGCGUUGUCCGGAAUUAUUGGGCGUAAAGAGCUCGUAGGCGGCUUGUCACGUCUGCUGUGAAAACUCGGGGCUCAACCCCGAGCCUGCAGUGGAUACGGGCUAGCUAGAGUGCGGUAGGGGAGACUGGAAUUCCUGGUGUAGCGGUGAAAUGCGCAGAUAUCAGGAGGAACACCGGUGGCGAAGGCGGGUCUCUGGACCGAUACUGACGCUGAGGAGCGAAAGCGUGGGGAGCGAACAGG
This 256-nucleotide ribosomal RNA is filed under the name uncultured bacterium. RNAcentral's name for it is "partial 16S ribosomal RNA". It matches the Rfam family "Bacterial small subunit ribosomal RNA", at positions 521 to 776 of the family's 1533-position model. The record is from RNAcentral.